GAGCAGGGACGGCCGUCUCCUGUCCUGCAACAUUGGUGUUCCAGUGCUCAAGCCUGGGGAUUCAUGUGGGACUUGGACUGUCACCCACCCACUCUCCACCUGACUUCCAUUCUGGACUUAGAAUAAAGCUGACACCACCAGCCCCUCCGGUUUACAGGAUUUUGAACUUUACUGGGUAUUUAGCUUGCAGAUGGCAGAUCCUGUGGCUUCUUGGCCUCCAUAAUUGGGAAUUGGCACUCCUUGAACAGUCUGCCUCCUGUUCCAGUGUUAUUGGGUAAACUUUAAACAGUCCUAGAAGAGAUUCUUCCAGCAAGAGAUCAUCUCUGUAAAUCACCUGGGAGGUGGAAAUAAGGAGACCACAAAAGACAGAUGUGAUCUGAUGGUGGCCAGAGACACCACCAGUAAACGGACUCACGUGGUAGAGAGAAGACUUGGGUGCUGAGAGCUAUGGCACACAGGAUCACAGCGAGGGCGGCC
Molecule: long non-coding RNA, 477 nt
Organism: Ochotona princeps (American pika)
Lineage: Eukaryota; Metazoa; Chordata; Mammalia; Lagomorpha; Ochotonidae
Exons: 3
Source: RefSeq, a predicted model, not a curated record